CAUUGUAGGAAGUGAAAGCGUAGA
This 24-nucleotide non-coding RNA is filed under the name Cricetulus griseus (Chinese hamster). The record is from RNAcentral. Lineage: Eukaryota; Metazoa; Chordata; Mammalia; Rodentia; Cricetidae.